UACAGAGGGUGCAAGCGUUGUUCGGAAUCACUGGGCGUAAAGAGUUCGUAGGCGGACCAAUUAGUAUGGGGUUAAAUACCGGGGCCUAACUCCGGAACUGCUCUGUAAACGGUUGGUCUAGAGUAUUGGAGAGGAUAGUGGAAUACCUGGUGUAGAGGUGAAAUUCGUAGAUAUCAGGUGGAACACCGGAUGCGAAGGCGACUAUCUGGCCAAGAACUGACGCUAAAGAACGAAAGCAUGGGGAGCAAACAGG
Molecule: ribosomal RNA, 253 nt
Filed under: uncultured bacterium
Lineage: Bacteria
Description: partial 16S ribosomal RNA
Rfam family: Bacterial small subunit ribosomal RNA
Source: RNAcentral